UACGUGGGUGGCGAGCGUUGUCCGGAUUUACUGGGCGUAAAGGGAGCGUAGGCGGACUUUUAAGUGAGAUGUGAAAUACUCGGGCUCAACUUGAGUGCUGCAUUUCAAACUGGAAGUCUAGAGUGCAGGAGAGGAGAAUGGAAUUCCUAAUGUAGCGGUGAAAUGCGUAGAGAUUAGGAAGAACACCAGUGGCGAAGGCGACUCUCUGGACUGUAACUGACGCUGAGGCUCGAAAGCGUGGGGAGCAAACAGG
This 253-nucleotide ribosomal RNA is filed under the name uncultured bacterium. RNAcentral describes it as "partial 16S ribosomal RNA". It matches the Rfam family "Bacterial small subunit ribosomal RNA", at positions 524 to 776 of the family's 1533-position model. The record is from RNAcentral.